Molecule: ribosomal RNA, 465 nt
Filed under: uncultured bacterium
Lineage: Bacteria
Description: partial 16S ribosomal RNA
Rfam family: Bacterial small subunit ribosomal RNA
Source: RNAcentral
CCUACGGGAGGCAGCAGUGGGGAAUAUUGCGCAAUGGGCGAAAGCCUGACGCAGCGACGCCGCGUGAGGGAUGAAGGUCUUCGGAUCGUAAACCUCUGUCAGCAGGGAAGAACGGUCACUGUGCUAAUCAGCAGUGAAUUGACGGUACCUGCAAAGGAAGCACCGGCUAACUCCGUGCGAGCAGCCGAGGUAAUACGGAGGGUGCGAGCGUUAAUCGGAAUUACUGGGCGUAAAGCGCUCGUAGACGGUAUGUCAAGUCAAGGGUGAAAUCCCCGCGCUUAACGUGGGAACUGCCUGUGAAACUGGCAAACUAGAGUGCGUGAGGGGAUAGUGGAAUUCCUGGUGUAGGAGUGAAAUCCGUAGAUAUCUGGAGGAACAUCAGUGGCGAAGGCGGCUAUCUGGCACAUAACUGACGCUGAGGAGCGAAAGCGUGGGUAGCAAACAGGAUUAGAUACCCGAGUAGUC